CUAGCUUCAGCGAUGGAUCGGUCGAUUCGCGUAUCGAUGAAAAACGCAGCAAGCUGCGUUAUUUACCACGAAUUGCAGAUACUUAGAGUGGUAAAAUUUUGAACGCAUAGCGCCGUUGGGUUUUCCCUUCGGCACGUCUGGUUCAGGGUUGUU
RNAcentral lists this ribosomal RNA (153 nucleotides) under Cylicodontophorus bicoronatus. RNAcentral's name for it is "5.8S ribosomal RNA". It matches the Rfam family "5.8S ribosomal RNA". From Rfam's summary of the family: 5.8S ribosomal RNA (5.8S rRNA) is a component of the large subunit of the eukaryotic ribosome. It is transcribed by RNA polymerase I as part of the 45S precursor that also contains 18S and 28S rRNA. Lineage: Eukaryota; Metazoa; Nematoda; Chromadorea; Rhabditida; Strongylidae. The record is from RNAcentral.